AACCAACAGGGAUUGCCCUAGUAACGGCGAGUGAAGCGGCAACAGCUCAAAUUUGAAAUCUGGCCUCGGCCCGAGUUGUAAUUUGCAGAGGAUGUUUCUGGCGCGGUGCCUUCCGAGUUCCCUGGAACGGGACGCCACAGAGGGUGAGAGCCCCGUAUGGUUGGACACCAAGCCUGUGUGAAACUCCUUCGACGAGUCGAGUAGUUUGGGAAUGCUGCUCUAAAUGGGAGGUAAAUCUCUUCUAAAGCUAAAUACCGGCCAGAGACCGAUAGCGCACAAGUAGAGUGAUCGAAAGAUGAAAAGCACCUUGAAAAGGGGGUUAAACAGUACGUGAAAUUGUUGAAAGGGAAGCGCUCAUGACCAGACUUGUGCCGGGCGGUUCAUCCGGGGUUCUCCCCGGUGCACUCCGCCCGGUUCAGGCCAGCAUCGGUUCUCGUUGGGGGAUAAGAACGGUAGGAACGUGGCCCUCCCUCGGGAGGGUGUUAUAGCCUGCCGUACGAUACCCUGGUGGGGACCGAGGUUCGCGCUCCGCAAGGAUGCUGGCGUAAUGGUCAUCAGCGACCCGUCUUGAAACACGGACCAAGGAGUCGUCCAUUAGAGCGAGCGUUUGGGUGUAAAACCCGCACGCGUAAUGAAAGUGAAAUUAGGUGAGAGCUUCGGCGCAUCAUCGACCGAUCCUGAUGUUCUCGGAUGGAUUUGAGUAAGAGUUUUAACGGACGGACCCGAAAGACAGUGAACUAUGCUUGUAUAGGGUGAAGCCAGAGGAAACUCUGGUGGAGGCUCGCAGCGGUUCUGACGUGCAAAUCGAUCGUCAAAUAUGAGCAUGGGGGCGAAAGACUAAUCG
RNAcentral lists this ribosomal RNA (844 nucleotides) under Harknessia malayensis. Its description in RNAcentral is "eukaryotic LSU rRNA". It matches the Rfam family "Eukaryotic large subunit ribosomal RNA", at positions 63 to 937 of the family's 3401-position model. Lineage: Eukaryota; Fungi; Ascomycota; Sordariomycetes; Diaporthales; Harknessiaceae. The record is from RNAcentral.